Molecule: non-coding RNA, 1297 nt
Organism: Prunus avium (sweet cherry)
Lineage: Eukaryota; Viridiplantae; Streptophyta; Magnoliopsida; Rosales; Rosaceae
Source: RefSeq, a predicted model, not a curated record
UGGACUGAAGGAGGCCUUUUGAGCAAAUUGUUGGUUCUCUUUAGCUGAUAAGAGUAAAUGCACGAACAAAAGAGGCUGUUUUAUUUUAUGACACCACUGCAGAAAGUAACUUCUUUCUGCAAGUCCUGGAAAGCAUGGGCUCUUGAUCUUGACUUUGAGAGUGCUUUUCCAGAGCACACAUCACACCCCCUCUCAUCAUCAAUCAAAAUGAUCAUGUUGGUAACACACCUUAAGAUAACACCUUUAUGCAAUCCUACAUAGAAUUAUGCAGAAAAAAUCCAACUAUUUUCAAACUCUCUCUCUCUCUCUCUCUCUCACACACACACACACACACACACACACAUGAGCUGAUGUGAGAGAGAAUUGGAAGCGUUGGGGGAAAUAGUUGAGCGAGUUCUAUUCCUUGUUGCAAUCACAUGCAGAUAUUAGAUGAGACAUCAAAAUCAUGGGGUCAAUACCAUGGCAUGUGUUGUUUAUAGAAAACAAAGCAAGGGGGGAUAAUCUAACAGGUUAAAGCCUCCUGGCCUUGCAUGAUGACAAAGUAGAGAGAGCAUUAUAUUGUAAUUUGUACACCAAUAAUUUGAAAAGGAGGCAAGGAAAAGUCAAUUCAGGCAGAAAAAGAUGAAAAAGAAAAAACUUGUAACUUCAGUCAUUCACGCUGAAACCUAAAGUCAGACAGACAAACUGACAGUUAGCUCCAAUAAAAAGAAAAUUAAAGAAAAAAAAGCUUCAAAACUAAGUCAUUCCCUCCAUCAUCCUAUUGCGACCCCGCAAAACCAAAAUAAUCCCAUCCCAUGAUGGCUUCUUCAAGAAGAUUUACGAAUGAGCUAAAGAUUACAGUCAUUAUGGUGUUUAUUUUUUCUCUCACAUUCUUGCCUUCCAAUUCAGCUGAGCCAGUGUUGGUGAGAGAUGGUGAUCAUCAGGGCUUGAAAGAGCAAAUGGAGAUGGUGUUGGGUUCAAGUCCACCUAGGUGUGUUAAGAGGUGCAUGGGUUGCAUACCUUGCACGCCCACUCUUGUUGCUUCUGCACACCAUGGUAAUAAUCAUCCCAAGGCAGCAAAUUCAAAUCAGGGAGAUGAAAGCUAUUAUCUCCUCUCAUGGAAAUGCAAAUGCAGGAACAAGUUGUUCCAACCUUGAACAUUUUGUUUUAGCUUAGCCAACCUAAUCAUUUUCUUCCUACCUCCUUCCUAUGUACUAACUAAGUAGCAGCUUAUGAUAUAUAUUUGAUACAGAGACUGAUUAAUCUCACCCCAUUUACUUCGAUUGUUGCCGUUUUGUAUAUACUUUAGAAAAACAUA